UGAGUAACGCGUGAGGGAACCUGCCUUGGAGAGGGGAAUAACACAGAGAAAUUUGUGCUAAUACCGCAUGACGCAGUUGGGUCGCAUGGCUCUGACUGCCAAAGAUUUAUCGCUCUGAGAUGGCCUCGCGUCUGAUUAGCUAGUUGCGGGGUAACGGCCCACCAAGGCGACGAUCAGUAGCCGGACUGAGAGGUUGGCCGGCCACAUUGGGACUGAGACACGGCCCAGACUCCUACGGGAGGCAGCAGUGGGGAAUAUUGGGCAAUGGGCGCAAGCCUGACCCAGCAACGCCGCGUGAAGGAAGAAGGCUUUCGGGUUGUAAACUUCUUUUAUGUGGGACGAAACAAAUGACGGUACCACAUGAAUAAGCUCCGGCUAACUACGUGCC
This 388-nucleotide ribosomal RNA is filed under the name uncultured bacterium. RNAcentral's name for it is "bacterial SSU rRNA". It matches the Rfam family "Bacterial small subunit ribosomal RNA", at positions 107 to 509 of the family's 1533-position model. The record is from RNAcentral.